This 327-nucleotide ribosomal RNA is filed under the name uncultured bacterium. RNAcentral's name for it is "bacterial SSU rRNA". It matches the Rfam family "Bacterial small subunit ribosomal RNA", at positions 28 to 356 of the family's 1533-position model. The record is from RNAcentral.
GACGAACGCUGGCGGCGUGCUUAACACAUGCAAGUCGAACGGUAACAUGGCAGCAAUGCUGAUGACGAGUGGCGCACGGGUGCGUAACGCGUAUGCAAUCUACCCUUUACUGGGGAAUAGCCCGGAGAAAUUCGGAUUAACACCGCAUAAUAUGUUGAGUAGGCAUCUAUUUAACAUUAAAUCUACGGAGGUAAAGGAUGAGCAUGCGUCUGAUUAGAGUUGGUGAGGUAACGGCUCACCAAGACGAUGAUCAGUCGGGGUUCUGAGAGGAAGGUCCCCCACACUGGUACUGAGAUACGGACCAGACUCCUACGGGAGGCAGCAGUA